RNAcentral lists this small RNA (503 nucleotides) under Histoplasma capsulatum. RNAcentral describes it as "hypothetical RNA". Lineage: Eukaryota; Fungi; Ascomycota; Eurotiomycetes; Onygenales; Ajellomycetaceae. RNAcentral also lists the same sequence under 1 other name. The record is from RNAcentral.
UCUGACUUAGCCCUACCAGGAACAAUCCAUACGUAGCGCGUAUCUCAAGGCCAUUAAGGCCAGCCAGAGAACUGAUGGCACACCUCCUGGUAUUAUAAAUCGUGCACAUGGAACAUUCAAUUACAUUGCAAGAUCUUGGGACUUCUCUCUCCGGUAUAUCUAUCCCUAUCCCACCUAUGCCCCCGCCGGUUAUUAUACACACACACACACAUAUAUAUAUAUAUAUACACUGUCACCAUUAUUAGGCCCAUCACCAAUUGCUAUUUUUCUGACUAUUCUGUUUCACGAGUGCGAGGACACCCGGAUCUCACCACGUAGAUAUCUCAUAGGCAACAUGCGUAGUGCAACAUACAUACUGCCGUCUCCCUAUGAAGUUUGUCCUCCCGCCGUAUCCUUUUAUCUUCUAUAGGUUGAGCUUUGUUGCACGCGUGGGUGGAUGCUAUAAACAUGUCAGAUUUGCACCCUGGAAGAGAUAACCAAUCGAUAAGAACAUCUAUGCCGUC